GUCCUGUGGCCUCUGCAGCUCAGCAUGGCUAGGGCACUGGGAGCACCCAUUGCACUGGGGUUGUGGAGCCUGUGCUGGUCUCUGGCCAUUGCCACCCCUCUUCCUCCGACUAGUGCCCAUGGGAAUGUUGCUGAAGGCGAGACCAAGCCAGACCCAGAUGUGACUGAACGCUGCUCAGAUGGCUGGAGCUUUGAUGCUACCACCCUGGAUGACAAUGGAACCAUGCUGUUUUUUAAAGGGGAGUUUGUGUGGAAGAGUCACAAAUGGGACCGGGAGUUAAUCUCAGAGAGAUGGAAGAAUUUCCCCAGCCCUGUGGAUGCUGCAUUCCGUCAAGGUCACAACAGCGUCUUUCUGAUCAAGGGGGACAAAGUCUGGGUAUACCCUCCUGAAAAGAAGGAGAAAGGAUACCCAAAGUUGCUCCAAGAUGAAUUUCCUGGAAUCCCAUCCCCACUGGAUGCAGCUGUGGAAUGUCACCGUGGAGAAUGUCAAGCUGAAGGCGUCCUCUUCUUCCAAGGUCAGUCCAGGCUGGAAUCCAA
RNAcentral lists this small RNA (536 nucleotides) under Pongo abelii (Sumatran orangutan). RNAcentral's name for it is "retained intron". Lineage: Eukaryota; Metazoa; Chordata; Mammalia; Primates; Hominidae. The record is from RNAcentral.